AAAAAGAAAUAAAAAUAAUUUGCAUUAUUAAAGGUUCAGAUAUAAAACCAAACAAAGAAUAGUGAGGUAAAAGAGUCUUGCAGGCAAGCCACUACAAAUGGGAAACACUCCCUAUAUCCCUCCAAAAACCAGUGCACAAAGAAAACUGUAUAGUAACAAAGUUAAAAUACAGUGUAGGGCGCCACUAUCACAAACUGAGUGGUAGAUAUAAUUACCAUCUGAAAGAUGAGUAUGAAAACAUCAUAGUGCAAACUUUAAUAACAAGAAAUGAUAAAACAAAUAAAAUUGAAACCAUCAAUAUGUGCACAUGCGCUUUUGCCUCAAAUAGGCUGAUUCCCCAGGUAUAACAGUCUGCAGUUGUAGUCUUCUGUGUCCACAGAUCUUCCUUCACUGACAGUCAGUAGGAUUGAACGGUUAUUACACCACCAGAUGCUGAAAUCCUUUGGGGGCUCAGGAUAUGCUCAACGUGUUUCGUCUCUCUCUUCAUACUGCGUCAGGAGCUUGUUCUCUCUUCUAAAACCGGCGUUUAAAUAUCGCGGGCCGCGUCCCAUCAAUGUGUAUGCUCAUGCGCGACGGCGCACCUACUUGAUGUCAGCGUCAGUUGCGCAUGUGCGUUCCUCUCUGGAACGCAUGCAAACUUUAUUUGGACAUUGGAUCCACAUAUUUAAUAUAUGUAAAAAGGC
Molecule: non-coding RNA, 683 nt
Organism: Pelobates cultripes (western spadefoot toad)
Lineage: Eukaryota; Metazoa; Chordata; Amphibia; Anura; Pelobatidae
Source: the annotation of a GenBank genome assembly